AGAGGGGUAGCUAAAGUGGCAGAGUGCAUGCUUAGCAAGCAUGAGGUCCUGGGUUCAAUCCCCAGUACCUCCU
RNAcentral lists this transfer RNA (73 nucleotides) under Camelus bactrianus (Bactrian camel). It matches the Rfam family "tRNA". Rfam says of the family: Transfer RNA (tRNA) molecules are approximately 80 nucleotides in length. Lineage: Eukaryota; Metazoa; Chordata; Mammalia; Artiodactyla; Camelidae. The record is from Rfam by way of RNAcentral. RNAcentral also lists the same sequence under 1 other name.